Molecule: ribosomal RNA, 484 nt
Filed under: uncultured bacterium
Lineage: Bacteria
Description: bacterial SSU rRNA
Rfam family: Bacterial small subunit ribosomal RNA
Source: RNAcentral
CAGGAUGAACGCUGGCGGCGUAGCUUAACACAUGCAAGUCGAACGAAGCAACUAUCUUGCUGCAAGAGAGUUGACUUAGUGGCGGACGGGUGAGUAACGCGUGGGUAACCUGCCUCAUACAGGGGGAUAACAGUUGGAAACGACUGCUAAGACCGCAUAACCCGCUAGUGUCGCAUGACACGGACGGAAAAUAUUUAUAGGUAUGAGAUGGGCCCGCGUCUGAUUAGCUAGUUGGUAAGGUAACGGCUUACCAAGGCGACGAUCAGUAGCCGACUUGAGAGAGUGAUCGGCCACAUUGGGACUGAGACACGGCCCAAACUCCUACGGGAGGCAGCAGUGGGGAAUAUUGGACAAUGGGGGAAACCCUGAUCCAGCCGACGCCGCGUGAGUGAAGAAGUAUUUCGGUAUGUAAAGCUCUAUCAGCAGGGAAGAUAAUGACAGUACCUGACUAAGAAGCCCCGGCUAACUACGUGCCAGCCGCCGC